CACUCCAGAUCAGAUAAAUGAGCGGAGUGCACCAGAGUUUUAACCUGUCCUUCACACAACCAGCAACCCUUUCUCUCAGUCUUCCACACCCACUGAGUUGCACAAUGAUGACAGUUUGCGAUGUGCUCUUGAAAUAGCACCGAUGACAUCAACGGUGAAUGGCAGGAAGGAAGUUCUAACAUGAAGGGGGUGAAUGCACGUAGAAAACGGCCUUUAACGAAGCAUCGGACAACAAUAGAGCCUCACGGACCCAUCCCGUCCCGACAAUGAUGUGAUGAAGGAAAAAUAACAAUAUACCACUUUGCGGCCGAUGAAAGAGCAAACAGAAACCUCCAGCGCUGACCCGAUUCACAGCAGAGAUCUGAGGAAGAAGAAAAAUUGCUUUCCUCUGUUCUCUUAAAAGGACUUUUAUGUUCACUUGGUGGUCUGAGUUUAUCUGUAGUGACAGAUCUCACUGUGCUGCACUGCAUUAAUACUACAUACAAAAACAAUCCUGUGAGACAUUACCUAAUAAUCCUGAUGGAUAAAUGAUGUACCGCCUGUUAGAGUGUGAGAACAGCAGAACAGUGACAUAACGGCAGAAUAUAAGGAGUCAGAACAAGACUGACCUACAACCCCGGUGACUGAUAGAUCAUUAAAGCUCUCCGUCAACAAAUUCUCCAUUGCCAAGUUUCAUAUUGCCUGAGGAGCUUAUCAACAGAUUCAGGCAACCUUUAACCAAGCCACUGAUCCUGCGUGCCCUUCUUCACCAUCAGGCUUGUUCAGCCUGCAUCCUGCAGCUGAUGGGUCAUGUUCUGUUUACUGUACAUUCAGUGCCGGCACAAAGAGCGCACACACAUUCGUAUACACACACACGACAUAUACAAACGCAUGUAAACAGCACCCAGCACCCUCAAAGGAAAGCUGCUCAGCUAUGUAGCUCAUCGAGAGUGACCAUCCGUGAAAAACAUCAACAGAGGAGCUUGGAUUUACCUCAGCGCCUCGGCUCCAAUUGGAUGAGCCCCAGCAUAAACACAUGGGAUUGGCUUUCAUCUUGUUAAUUGCAUUGUGCCUCAGUGACACAAGCUACUGGAGAUUUCGCGAGCGUUGUACUCCCCGUGUUUAUCUGUGCAAAUGUCAUCCGUAGCUGCACGUAAUGAGGGUGUGCUGCAAUACUUCACCGAGGGACUUGUGAGGUGACUGGCAAGGCAGACUGUCAGGUAGGUGGCGGGGUAGAUCGCCAUGGCAACCUGCACACUGAGUUCAGGGCGUAAGAACCAAACGACCCUUGAUCAAUCGGCUCCAUCGCCAUUCCCGGAGGAUGACAUGGGCUUUAUCGAAUUAUCUUCUUGUGGAACUCACACCGUGAAGAAAACAAGGCAAAAAUGUGCC
Acanthopagrus latus (yellowfin seabream) is the source of this 1371-nucleotide long non-coding RNA. RefSeq lists it as uncharacterized. The transcript has 4 exons. The record is from RefSeq and is a predicted model, not a curated record. NCBI's taxonomy places the organism in Eukaryota, Metazoa, Chordata, Actinopteri, Spariformes, Sparidae.